RNAcentral lists this long non-coding RNA (384 nucleotides) under Canis lupus familiaris (dog). RNAcentral describes it as "lncRNA (ENSCAFG00040016445.1)". The record is from RNAcentral. Lineage: Eukaryota; Metazoa; Chordata; Mammalia; Carnivora; Canidae.
AUGGAGUCCAUCAUGAAGAAGAUGGAAGACAAACCCAUACUGGCAAUGAUCAUGAUGACCAGGCCAACAAGUAAGAGAGCAAGCAUGAAGAAGCUGAUGGUGAGGCAAUGGAGAGAAGAUGUUAGACCAGGCCUGACUGCAACACAGUGGGUCUCACCAACAAAGUGUAUAUCCGAGAUCUAUAAAGAACUUAUCAAACUCAACACCCAAAAAACAAUCCAGUCAAGAAAUGGGCAGAAGACAUGAACAGACAUUCCUUCAGAGAAGACAUAUAAAUGGCCAACAGACACAUGAAAAAAAUGCUCCACAUUGCUUGACAUCAGAGAAAUACAAAUCAAAACCACAGUGAGAUCCCACCUCACACCAGUUAGAAUGGCAAAAAUU